CAUACUUGACAAUUUGACCUCAAAUCAGGUAGGACUACCCGCUGAACUUAAGCAUAUCA
RNAcentral lists this ribosomal RNA (59 nucleotides) under Coprinellus sp. M-15. RNAcentral's name for it is "partial 28S ribosomal RNA". Lineage: Eukaryota; Fungi; Basidiomycota; Agaricomycetes; Agaricales; Psathyrellaceae. The record is from RNAcentral.